Molecule: non-coding RNA, 418 nt
Organism: Paramormyrops kingsleyae
Lineage: Eukaryota; Metazoa; Chordata; Actinopteri; Osteoglossiformes; Mormyridae
Source: RefSeq, a predicted model, not a curated record
CUUUACGCAGUUAGUUGAGAGAUGAAUAGCGAGAUCUGGCCUGAAAAAUAAGGAGAUGAUGAAUAAAUGAGGAACUAAAGAACACCAAAAGAGACAGUUUGCCCAGUUUGCUCAUUGCUGCUCCCUCUUGGUUGUAUUAAAUAAUCGAAAAUAUACAUUAUGGCAGAAUACCGCCCUCUAGUGAUGAUUAUGUAUGAUCUAGUGAGGAAUCCUGCAGCAAUUUGCCUGAUACAGACAUAACUUUCAUUGAUAACCUAUAAUCUUUCAAAGUAUCCUAAAUACUUAAAUUGUCAUACUUUAAUAUAUUAUGAAUUAGCAUUCACAAGGUUUCCCUGAAUAUAAAACUAUGUUAUUUAACUUGUUCACUGAAUUCUUACCUUUUUGUGUAGGAGACAUUAUUAAAAUGAUUACAAACAGA